CUAUACUGCAGUCGACGCUUCUUUCCUCCCGAGUGCUUGCACUCAAUUGGAAAGAGGAGUGGCGGACGGGUGAGUAACACGUGGGUAACCUACCCAUCAGAGGGGGAUAACACUUGGAAACAGGUGCUAAUACCGCAUAACAGUUUAUGCCGCAUGGCAUAAGAGUGAAAGGCGCUUUCGGGUGUCGCUGAUGGAUGGACCCGCGGUGCAUUAGCUAGUUGGUGAGGUAACGGCUCACCAAGGCCACGAUGCAUAGCCGACCUGAGAGGGUGAUCGGCCACACUGGGACUGAGACACGGCCCAGACUCCUACGGGAGGCAGCAGUAGGGAAUCUUCGGCAAUGGACGAAAGUCUGACCGAGCAACGCCGCGUGAGUGAAGAAGGUUUUCGGAUCGUAAAACUCUGUUGUUAGAGAAGAACAAGGACGUUAGUAACUGAACGUCCCCUGACGGUAUCUAACCAGAAAGCCACGGCUAACUACGUGCCAGCAGCCGCGGUAAUACGUAGGUGGCAAGCGUUGUCCGGAUUUAUUGGGCGUAAAGCGAGCGCAGGCGGUUUCUUAAGUCUGAUGUGAAAGCCCCCGGCUCAACCGGGGAGGGUCAUUGGAAACUGGGAGACUUGAGUGCAGAAGAGGAGAGUGGAAUUCCAUGUGUAGCGGUGAAAUGCGUAGAUAUAUGGAGGAACACCAGUGGCGAAGGCGGCUCUCUGGUCUGUAACUGACGCUGAGGCUCGAAAGCGUGGGGAGCAAACAGGAUUAGAUACCCUGGUAGUCCACGCCGUAAACGAUGAGUGCUAAGUGUUGGAGGGUUUCCGCCCUUCAGUGCUGCAGCAAACGCAUUAAGCACUCCGCCUGGGGAGUACGACCGCAAGGUUGAAACUCAAAGGAAUUGACGGGGGC
This 898-nucleotide ribosomal RNA is filed under the name Enterococcus sp. C101. Its description in RNAcentral is "bacterial SSU rRNA". It matches the Rfam family "Bacterial small subunit ribosomal RNA", at positions 49 to 920 of the family's 1533-position model. The record is from RNAcentral. Lineage: Bacteria; Bacillati; Bacillota; Bacilli; Lactobacillales; Enterococcaceae.